This 467-nucleotide ribosomal RNA is filed under the name uncultured bacterium. RNAcentral's name for it is "bacterial SSU rRNA". It matches the Rfam family "Bacterial small subunit ribosomal RNA", at positions 917 to 1382 of the family's 1533-position model. The record is from RNAcentral.
GGGCCCGCACAAGCGGUGGAGUAUGUGGUUUAAUUCGAUGCAACGCGAAGAACCUUACCAGGGCUUGACAUCCCGGGAACCCGGUGGAAACACCGGGGUGCCCGCAAGGGAGCCCGGAGACAGGUGGUGCAUGGCUGUCGUCAGCUCGUGUCGUGAGAUGUUGGAUUAAGUUCCGCAACGAGCGCAACCCUCGUCGUAUGUUGCCAGCGGUUCGGCCGGGCACUCAUACGAGACUGCCGCAGCAAUGUGGAGGAAGGUGGGGAUGACGUCAAGUCAGCAUGCCCCGUACGCCCUGGGCUACACACAUACUACAAUGCGAGGAGCAGACGGAUGCUAACCCGCGAGGGGGCGCUAAUCCGCGAAGGCCUCGCUCAGUGCAGAUUGCAGGCUGCAACUCGCCUGCAUGAAGGCGGAAUCGCUAGUAACCGUCGGUCAGCAUUACGACGGUGAAUACGUUCCCGGGCCUU